Molecule: ribosomal RNA, 253 nt
Filed under: uncultured bacterium
Lineage: Bacteria
Description: partial 16S ribosomal RNA
Rfam family: Bacterial small subunit ribosomal RNA
Source: RNAcentral
UACAGAGGGGGCAAGCGUUGUUCGGAAUUACUGGGCGUAAAGGGCGCGUAGGCGGCCUCUUAAGUCGAACGUGAAAUCCCCGGGCUCAACCCGGGAACUGCGUCCGAUACUGGGAGGCUUGAAUCCGGGAGAGGGAUGUGGAAUUCCAGGUGUAGCGGUGAAAUGCGUAGAUAUCUGGAGGAACACCGGUGGCGAAGGCGGGUCUCUGGGCCGAUACUGACGCUGAGGAGCGAAAGCGUGGGGAGCGAACAGG